UACAGAGGGGGCAAGCGUUGUUCGGAACUACUGGGCGUAAAGGGCGCGUAGGCGGCCUUCUAAGUCGAACGUGAAAUCCCCGGGCUCAACCCGGGAACUGCGUCCGAUACUGGAAGGCUUGAAUCCGGGAGAGGGAUGCGGAAUUCCAGGUGUAGCGGUGAAAUGCGUAGAUAUCUGGAGGAACACCGGUGGCGAAGGCGGCAUCCUGGACCGGCAUUGACGCUGAGGCGCGAAAGCCAGGGGAGCAAACGGG
RNAcentral lists this ribosomal RNA (253 nucleotides) under uncultured bacterium. RNAcentral's name for it is "partial 16S ribosomal RNA". It matches the Rfam family "Bacterial small subunit ribosomal RNA", at positions 524 to 776 of the family's 1533-position model. The record is from RNAcentral.